AAGGUUGGCGAAGCGAUUGGUAGAACAAGAAGAGAAGCCCAAUACCAGGCUGCUGAAGGUUCACUUAGGCAUUUGCUUGGAUGCAUCUUUGUUGAAGGGAAUCGUUGUGCUUGGUUCUGGUCACUCCCAUUGAUGCUUGAGUGCUUCUCUUCACAGCCUUCAUU
This is a long non-coding RNA of Rhodamnia argentea, 164 nucleotides long. RefSeq lists it as uncharacterized. The transcript has 2 exons. The record is from RefSeq and is a predicted model, not a curated record. Lineage: Eukaryota; Viridiplantae; Streptophyta; Magnoliopsida; Myrtales; Myrtaceae.